CACUACGGUAAGGGAGAACGUGCGCCUUGUCGUCUCGACAGUGGAGGACGGUCUGAGUAUGUCUGGGAAACUGCCCGAUGGAGGGGGAUAACUACUGGAAACGGUAGCUAAUACCGCAUAACGUCGCAAGACCAAAGAGGGGGACCUUCGGGCCUCUUGCCAUCGGAUGUGCCCAGAUGGGAUUAGCUAGUAGGUGGGGUAACGGCUCACCUAGGCGACGAUCCCUAGCUGGUCUGAGAGGAUGACCAGCCACACUGGAACUGAGACACGGUCCAGACUCCUACGGGAGGCAGCAGUGGGGAAUAUUGCACAAUGGGCGCAAGCCUGAUGCAGCCAUGCCGCGUGUAUGAAGAAGGCCUUCGGGUUGUAAAGUACUUUCAGCGAGGAGGAAGGUGUUGUGGUUAAUAACCGCAGCAAUUGACGUUACUCGCAGAAGAAGCACCGGCUAACUCCGUGCCAGCAGCCGCGGUAAUACGGAGGGUGCAAGCGUUAAUCGGAAUUACUGGGCGUAAAGCGCACGCAGGCGGUCUGUCAAGUCGGAUGUGAAAUCCCCGGGCUCAACCUGGGAACUGCAUCCGAAACUGGCAGGCUAGAGUCUUGUAGAGGGGGGUAGAAUUCCGGUGUACGGGAAAUGCGUAAAGAUCUGGAGGA
Molecule: ribosomal RNA, 651 nt
Filed under: Citrobacter sp. HPC1293
Lineage: Bacteria; Pseudomonadati; Pseudomonadota; Gammaproteobacteria; Enterobacterales; Enterobacteriaceae
Description: bacterial SSU rRNA
Rfam family: Bacterial small subunit ribosomal RNA
Source: RNAcentral